Molecule: ribosomal RNA, 474 nt
Filed under: uncultured bacterium
Lineage: Bacteria
Description: bacterial SSU rRNA
Rfam family: Bacterial small subunit ribosomal RNA
Source: RNAcentral
ACUCCUACGGGAGGCAGCAGUGGGGAAUAUUGCACAAUGGGCGCAAGCCUGAUGCAGCCAUGCCGCGUGUAUGAAGAAGGCCUUCGGGUUGUAAAGUACUUUUCAGCAGUGAGGAAGGUGGGUAUGUUAAUAGCAUACUCAUUUGACGUUAGCUGCAGAAGAAGCACCCGGCUAACUCCGUGCCAGCAGCCGCGGUAAUACGGAGGGUGCGAGCGUUAAUCGGAAUUACUGGGCGUAAAGCGCAUGCAGGUGGUUUGUUAAGUCAGAUGUGAAAGCCCGGGGCUCAACCUCGGAAUUGCAUUUGAAACUGGCAAACUAGAGUACUGUAGAGGGGGGUAGAAUUUCAGGUGUAGCGGUGAAAUGCGUAGAGAUCUGAAGGAAUACCGGUGGCGAAGGCGGCCCCCUGGACAGAUACUGACACUCAGAUGCGAAAGCGUGGGAGCAAACAGGAUUAGAUACCCUGGUCGGCUGUGC